AGAGUUUGAUCCUGGCUCAGGACGAACGCUGGCGGCGUGCCUAUUACAUGCAAGUCGCGCGGAUCAAUGAGGAGUAGCGGCGGACGGGUGAGUAACGCGUGGAUAAUCUGCCUGUAAGACGGGGAUAACGCCGGGAAACCGGUGCUAAUACCCGAUAACCUCUUUAGAUCGCAUGGUUUGAAGAGAAAAGGUGGCCUCUUUACAAUGNNNNNNNNGGGCCCGCGGCUGAUUAGCUAGUUGGUGGGGUAACGGCCUACCAAGGCAACGAUCAGUAGCCGACCUGAGAGGGUGAUCGGCCACACUGGAACUGAGACACGGUCCAGACUCCUACGGGAGGCAGCAGUGGGGAAUCUUCCGCAAUGGACGAAAGCCUGACGGAGCAACGCCGCGUGGGUGAAGAAGGCCUUCGGGUUGUAAAACCCUGUCUUCAAGGGAAGAACAAGUGCCGCAGGCAAUGGCGGCACCUUGACGGUACCUUACCAGAAAGCCACGGCUAACUACGUGCCAGCAGCCGCGGUAAUACGUAGGUGGCAAACGUUGUCCGGAAUUACUGGGCGUAAAGGGCGAGUAGGUGGUUUGCUAAGUCAAAAGUGAAAACUCCCGGCUCAACCGGGGAGGGCCAUUGGAAACUGGUAGACUUGAGUGCAAGAGAGGGAAGUGGAAUUCCUAGUGUAGCGGUGAAAUGCGUAGAUAUUAGGAGGAACACCAGUGGCGAAGGCGACUUCCUGGCUUGUAACUGACACUGAGGCGCGAAAGCGUGGGGAUCAAACAGGAUUAGAUACCCUGGUAGUCCACGCCGUAAACGAUGAGUGCUAGGUGUUGGAGGGUUUCCGCCCUUCAGUGCUGAAGCUAACGCAUUAAGCACUCCGCCUGGGGAGUACGGUCGCAAGGCUGAAACUCAAAGGAAUUGACGGGGGCCCGCACAAGCGGUGGAGUAUGUGGUUUAAUUCGACGCAACGCGAAGAACCUUACCAAGGCUUGACAUCCCGUGACAGCCAUGGAAACAGGGGAGUGCCCUUCGGUGCACACGGAGACAGGUGGUGCAUGGUUGUCGUCAGCUCGUGUCGUGAGAUGUUGGGUUAAGUCCCGCAACGAGCGCAACCCUUGUCCUUAGUUGCCACCAUUCAGUUGGGCACUCUAAGGAGACUGCCGGUGACAAACCGGAGGAAGGUGGGGAUGACGUCAAAUCAUCAUGCCCCUUAUGAGUUGGGCUACACACGUGCUACAAUGGCCGGUACAAAGGGCAGCGACACAGCGAAGUGAAGCCAAUCCCAGAAAGCCGUUCUCAGUUCGGAUUGCAGGCUGCAACUCGCCUGCAUGAAGUCGGAAUCGCUAGUAAUCGCAGGUCAGCAUACUGCGGUGAAUACGUUCCCGGGUCUUGUACACACCGCCCGUCACACCACGAGAGUUUGUAACACCCGAAGUCGGUGAGGUAACCUUAGGGAGCCAGCCGCCGAAGGUGGGACAGAUGAUUGGGGUGAAGUCGUAACAAGGUAACC
RNAcentral lists this ribosomal RNA (1499 nucleotides) under uncultured bacterium. RNAcentral describes it as "16S ribosomal RNA". It matches the Rfam family "Bacterial small subunit ribosomal RNA". The record is from RNAcentral.